Molecule: ribosomal RNA, 716 nt
Filed under: uncultured Pasteurellales bacterium
Lineage: Bacteria; Pseudomonadati; Pseudomonadota; Gammaproteobacteria; Pasteurellales
Description: bacterial SSU rRNA
Rfam family: Bacterial small subunit ribosomal RNA
Source: RNAcentral
UGAAAGCUUGCUUUCUUGCUGACGAGUGGCGGACGGGUGAGUAAUGCUUAGGAAUCUGGCUUAUGGAGGGGGAUAACUACGGGAAACUGUAGCUAAUACCGCGUAGUAUCGGAAGAUGAAAGUGCGGGACCGUAAGGCCGCAUGCCAUGAGAUGAGCCCAAGUGGGAUUAGGUAGUUGGUGGGGUAAAGGCCUACCAAGCCUGCGAUCUCUAGCUGGUCUGAGAGGAUGGCCAGCCACACUGGAACUGAGACACGGUCCAGACUCCUACGGGAGGCAGCAGUGGGGAAUAUUGCGCAAUGGGGGGAACCCUGACGCAGCCAUGCCGCGUGAAUGAAGAAGGCCUUCGGGUUGUAAAGUUCUUUCGGUAUUGAGGAAGGAGUGUAUGUUAAUAGCAUACAUUAUUGACGUUAAAUACAGAAGAAGCACCGGCUAACUCCGUGCCAGCAGCCGCGGUAAUACGGAGGGUGCGAGCGUUAAUCGGAAUAACUGGGCGUAAAGGGCACGCAGGCGGUUAUUUAAGUGAGGUGUGAAAGUCCCCGGGCUUAACCUGGGAAUUGCAUUUCAGACUGGGUAACUAGAGUACUUUAGGGAGGGGUAGAAUUCCACGUGUAGCGGUGAAAUGCGUAGAGAUGUGGAGGAAUACCGNAAGGCGAAGGCAGCCCCUUGGGAAUGUACUGACGCUCAUGUGCGAAAGCGUGGGGAGCAAACAGGAUUA